Caenorhabditis elegans is the source of this 183-nucleotide non-coding RNA. Ensembl annotates it as ncRNA. Its record names the gene T03D8.8. The record is from Ensembl. Lineage: Eukaryota; Metazoa; Nematoda; Chromadorea; Rhabditida; Rhabditidae.
CAACUCAUACUACACGAGUAAUAUGGGUUAUUACAGUAAGCAGUGUACAUAUAACAGUUCGAACAUGUAUCAUAGCAUCCAGGGCAACACCAAUUGUUAUUGCACAUAGUUCCAUUUGGACAAUGCUGAUUGAUGCACACUGCAAUAUAUAUUUCGAAAAUUCAAAUAAACCAUCACAAUGAC